This 476-nucleotide ribosomal RNA is filed under the name uncultured bacterium. Its description in RNAcentral is "bacterial SSU rRNA". It matches the Rfam family "Bacterial small subunit ribosomal RNA", at positions 37 to 507 of the family's 1533-position model. The record is from RNAcentral.
UGGCGGCAGGCUUAACACAUGCAAGUCGAGCGGUAGCAGAUCUAGCUUGCUAGAUGCUGACGAGCGGCGGACGGGUGAGUAACACGUAGGAACCUGCCCAGUAGUGGGGGAUAGCCCGGGGAAACUCGGAUUAAUACCGCAUACGCUCUACGGAGGAAAAGAGGGGGCUUCGGCUCUCGCUAUUGGAUGGGCCUGCGUGAGAUUAGCUAGUUGGUGAGGUAAUGGCUCACCAAGGCGACGAUCUCUAGCUGGUCUGAGAGGAUGAUCAGCCACACUGGGACUGAGACACGGCCCAGACUCCUACGGGAGGCAGCAGUGGGGAAUAUUGCACAAUGGGCGCAAGCCUGAUGCAGCCAUGCCGCGUGUGUGAAGAAGGCUUUCGGGUUGUAAAGCACUUUCAGUGGGGAGGAAGGCCUCGUAGUUAAUAGCUGCGAGGAUUGACGUUACCCACAGAAGAAGCACCGGCUAACUCCGUG